This 561-nucleotide ribosomal RNA is filed under the name uncultured bacterium. RNAcentral describes it as "partial 16S ribosomal RNA". It matches the Rfam family "Bacterial small subunit ribosomal RNA", at positions 355 to 907 of the family's 1533-position model. The record is from RNAcentral.
UGGGGAAUAUUGGACAAUGGGCGCAAGCCUGAUCCAGCAAUGCCGCGUGUGUGAAGAAGGCCUUCGGGUUGUAAAGCACUUUUAUCAGGAGCGAAACGCUGUCGGCUAAUACCCGGCGGAACUGACGGUACCUGAGGAAUAAGCACCGGCUAACUUCGUGCCAGCAGCCGCGGUAAUACGAAGGGUGCAAGCGUUAAUCGGAAUUACUGGGCGUAAAGCGUGCGUAGGCGGUUUCUUAAGUCUGCUGUGAAAUCCCCGGGCUCAACCUGGGAAUGGCAGUGGAUACUGGGAGGCUAGAGUGUGUCAGAGGGUGGUGGAAUUCCCGGUGUAGCGGUGAAAUGCGUAGAGAUCGGGAGGAACAUCAGUGGCGAAGGCGGCCACCUGGGACAACACUGACGCUGAGGCACGAAAGCGUGGGGAGCAAACAGGAUUAGAUACCCUGGUAGUCCACGCCCUAAAUGAUGCGAACUGGAUGUUGGUCUCAACUCGGAGAUCAGUGUCGAAGCUAACGCGUUAAGUUCGCCGCCUGGGGAGUACGGUCGCAAGACUGAAACUUAAAGG